This is a long non-coding RNA of Maylandia zebra (zebra mbuna), 1055 nucleotides long. RefSeq lists it as uncharacterized. The record is from RefSeq and is a predicted model, not a curated record. NCBI's taxonomy places the organism in Eukaryota, Metazoa, Chordata, Actinopteri, Cichliformes, Cichlidae.
UUGCUUUAGCCUAGCUUAGCAACCUGCUAGCAAGGACCGAGCGGUUGUUAACACUGUGGCAGUGCGUGAGCUAGCGUUAGCCUGCCCAAUGUAAUGCAGUGGAAUACGGACUAGUGUAGCGUGUUGAAGCCCAGUCUAGUGGAGUGCUGUGUGCAAGAUCAUAGUAAGACUCCUUGCUAGCAUAUGCUUGUGUUUAAUGCAGCGACCUGCUUCUGCAUGGAGGUAAAUGAAGCUUUUAAGCAGGGCGGAGGGAAGGGGGACCGCUGAAAAGAUUAAUUGACUUUCUACAGAGCUUCACUUAUCCUCCUCUGGCACCUUUGACUUGCUAUGGUUAUAGCUGCUACCCCAGCAGGACCCCUUCUUGUCAGCCACUAAUGCUGUGACUGACAUCCAUCAACUAUGAGCCACCACAAGAUGGGUAAACAUGAUAGAGGGCAAGAACUGGUUGUGUCCCGGCCAUUUGUGAAUGACUCCUCAACUGAAAUGAGGGUAACCUGGAUGGCGACGUCAACACAGACCUCAAUUUAGACAAAAUGAAGGAGGACAAGGAUGACACCACCUUCCAGCAGUUGACCUGGCGUGUAUUUACAUUUCUCAGGAGGUGCACAUCAGAAGAAACGGUUCUGGUUAUGUCGGAUUAUGGCUCUAAAGGGACAACUUCAAGUAAGCAGUGGAAAGAGAGCAAAAGGAUGGACUAUGAUUGGUUGCCAUCUAGUGGCUUUAACUCUGGCUUGCUGCUGCUGCUGCUGCACCAUGAAGGUUUAAAAUGUUGGGUUUAGUAGGUUUCACUCCUAAAAAAGGCAGGUAAUAAGAGAUUUCCUCUACCCCUCACAGGCAAGUUGGUGUCAAACAUUUUUCUCAGUACUUGUAGAUAUUAGGAAAUGGUUAUUAAUGACUGGAAAAUAAUUUCUUUUGGUGUGACCCUUCUUAUUAAAUAUAAAACUACACUGACUUCACAGCAAUUAAAUGGAACAGGACCUUUUGUUUAUGUUAUGAAAAUAUAGAUUUUUACAAGCCAAAUCCUUAUUAGGCAAUGGCUGAUUGAUUGCAUGCAG